Molecule: long non-coding RNA, 1404 nt
Organism: Oreochromis niloticus (Nile tilapia)
Lineage: Eukaryota; Metazoa; Chordata; Actinopteri; Cichliformes; Cichlidae
Exons: 2
Source: RefSeq, a predicted model, not a curated record
CUGGAUUUCAUCCAGAAUCUAUUAUCAAACCAAUAAUUUACUGACUUCAGAAAGUUCAGAUUUAUUGAAACACUGCAUUUUAAAUGUACGCCCAUGUCUAAAAAUGAGCUGUAAUAUUAUCCAGUACCACCUCAGGUUGUUUGCGUCACACCGCUGCAUCAUCAUGGACUCCAGAUUGUUCCUAACAUUUUAUCAUUUUGAGAUCACGACUGUCCAAAUACACCCGUGUCCAUCUUGAAGACAAAGCAGCUCCUCUUUUGAGCUGAAAAAGCUCAGAAAUCUGCAGUUCCUGCAACAUCCACCAGAGGCAAACCGAGAGGUGGAGACAGCUGUAGCUACUAGCUUCACCUGAACUGGACCCUCUGGACCAUGUUUGUGUGGUUGGAGCCCUCUGACCAAUAAUAUGGCUGCUGUGCUCACACCUGACUGUCCAACAGGUGUGAGCUCCAGUUCUGCUCCUUAGACUACGAUGACCUGGAUGACUGAGAACCUUCACAGACAAACCACUAAAUUGGACACUGAUGUCACUCCAUACCUGCCAUCCACGCCAAAGGUGAUGUUGUCCACCUAAGUGGACAUGUAAAAAAGUCUUUGAAAAGUACAUGUUUAAACAAAAAUGAAGUUUACAAAUCUUUUUCAUGCCUAAAUAUGAAUAAAAAUACUUAAACCCAAUCCAGAUUGAAGUUGUCAUAAUUCAUCAAUGAAAGGGUUAAUUAGCAGGUAUCUUAGUUUGUGUGAUGCUAAAACCAGUACAUCCACAUUUAUCUAAUGGUUUUUAGCCAAAAGAGUACAAAAUAAGUGUAGCUCCCCCUGGUGUCAGCCACUGCAACUACAUUCUAAAAUUAAAUGUAAUAAAGAAUUAACGUAAAACAAUUGAGAUUCAAUCUGUAAAACACUGAUUUACAUGAUUAAAUUUACUGCUGGGAUUUUCAUCAUCCUGUCUUAAAUCUGCUGUGGAGCAACUUAAGAAAAUUUCAGACCAAUUAUUUUUGUCAGCUUUUUAGAAGGUGGACGAACCCGACUCCAAUAUUUGGGCAAUGUCUAAUAAAACCACACCACCACCCCGGGAAAGGUUUAAAUAAAAAAAAAAAAAAAAAAAAAAAAGACCACAGACACAGCAGUACGUUUCACUAUAUUUAUAUUAUAUCAUUAAAUUCAAUGUAGUACCUGAAACUAACCACACAGGCCAGACAGACACCGCCGUCCGGCUUCAACACACGGUCCCAGCAAAGAGAGAAAGAGACAGAGAAAGGCACAAAGAGUUCUGAAACUGAGAAAAGGACACAGAACAUGAUGAUGAUGGCGAUGAUGAUCAGACGAGUGCAUGAGCAAAGGAAAGCAGAGCGAGACUGGGUGGCUAUGACAUGAGUAAAUGAACCGAGUGACAGAUGCAGGCAGAGGCGA